GACGGAGGGUGCAAGCGCUGUUCGGAUUGACUGGGCGUAAAGGGCGUGUAGGCGGUUGGUCAAGUCCGAUGUGAAAGCCCGGGGCUCAGCUUCGGAAGUGCAUCGGAAACUAGCCAGCUGGAGCGCGAUAGAGGAGGGCGGAAUUCCUGGUGUAGCGGUGAAAUGCGUAGAUAUCAGGAGGAACACCGGCGGCGAAGGCGGCCCUCUGGAUCGUUGCUGACGCUGAGACGCGAAAGCGUGGGGAGCAAACAGG
RNAcentral lists this ribosomal RNA (253 nucleotides) under uncultured bacterium. Its description in RNAcentral is "partial 16S ribosomal RNA". It matches the Rfam family "Bacterial small subunit ribosomal RNA", at positions 524 to 776 of the family's 1533-position model. The record is from RNAcentral.